This 350-nucleotide long non-coding RNA is filed under the name Buteo japonicus. Its description in RNAcentral is "lncRNA (ENSBJAG00000008549.1)". Lineage: Eukaryota; Metazoa; Chordata; Aves; Accipitriformes; Accipitridae. The record is from RNAcentral.
GGGUGGCCCCUGAGGCAUAGGAAGUUGCUGGGUUUCACAGGAAUUCCUCAGCAGAGCUGGGAAUUGAUCACAGAUCUGUAGAUUCCCAGGUGACUUUUGAUACAACCAGACAUUUUAGCGAAGGAGCUACAAGGAAGAGAAGCCUGGAAAGACUAAAGCUGCAAGAACAGGAGCACAUUCGAAAAAGGGGGGAAAAAAAGAGAGGGGGUUGAAAGAAAAAGACGUGGUGAUGAAAAGAAGUUCAAGAGAGAAAAAAGAAAGCUAAGCUCGAGAGGAGAGAAGAGAGGCAGAUAGAUGGAGAUGAGAAACAUCCCCCAAAGCAGCAGAAGGUACCAGCUGAAGAACAGCAG